This 1260-nucleotide long non-coding RNA is filed under the name Mustela putorius furo (domestic ferret). Its description in RNAcentral is "lncRNA (ENSMPUG00000025664.1)". The record is from RNAcentral. Lineage: Eukaryota; Metazoa; Chordata; Mammalia; Carnivora; Mustelidae.
NGUGGGAUAUCCUUGAGGGAGGGCUCGGCGCGUCUCUGCUUAGGAUCCUUAUGUUUUGGCACAGCAGUGAUUUCAGAGGAAGAAACCUUGUGCAUUUUUAUAAUGCAUAAAGUCUGCUUUUGGGGAAAAGCAUUACAGCGCACCUCCCAUGCUUCCACAGAGGAGAGAUGGUCGCGCUAUUAAGGCAGAAGGAAGUAGGUAUGGAGGGUUGAUGACAGCUCUAGAAGGGAUUUGAAUGAAAUAUUGCAAAGGCAGGACUGAUGGCAUUUGCCUGGAGGAUAUGAGGCACCGGAAGGAGCUGAGCUUAGCCAGAUGAACAGGACCUCCAGGAAGGAAGAAGAGAAAGAUGUCUCCAGAAGGAGAGUGACGACUGCUCUUAGCUCAUUUUGUGGUUUCGAGAACCCUCUCCUGAUCCGGUCUGGCUGUGGGCUGGUGGGUGAGGAGCCCAGAGCGUUUCCCAUCCGCCAGCAGGGCUCCCGUGUGCAUCUCGCCUUAAAAUCACGGUCCCUGCCACGGUGUCUCUGCAGAGAACCUGACAGUCUGCUUCAAGCACUAGGUUUGUGCCUUUUCAAAUGGGGUGUCUCCUUCUGUUGAAGGACAAUCUCAGAUUAUUAUUUUUGCUGCCUGGGGAUCUAUGCCGGAUAUGCUUGCUGCUCGGGAAAUUGUGGUUGGGGGAACGUCCAGAUGGUAAAAGACUACCCCGGGUUCCUAAGGAAAUGCUCAAAAAUUAUCCUAGAUGAGAGAAAAAAGGGGGAAAAAGGACAGAAAAGAAAAACUGUUGGGGCAGGGGUAGUGUAAGGAGGGCAUUUUAUACAAUUGGGUGAGCCCUGGCAUUCCCUCCCUAUUUUGAUUGUUUUUCUUGCAAUAAUGAUGAUAGUGGAGAUGGGACUGUAAACAAACAAUAACAACAAAUGAUAAGAAUAGCAAAUUAUAAGAAUAGCAAUGAUAAGAAUGAGGACUUGCUCUGUGCCAGGCACUGCGCUAGACCCUCUGCAUCCAUCGCCUCAUUUAACUCUCAUGGCAGCCGCCGACAUAGGCGCCGUUAUUCUCACCCCAUUGUACAGAUGAGGAAACUGAGGAAGGCAGUUCUGCUCAAGUCAAAUAGCUCCUAGGGGCGCAUGUGAAAUUCAAACGCUGUGAAGCCUGACUGGGACUCUGAGCCCAGCGUUCAGUGCAGAGUCAAGACUCAGAUUGCCUCCAGGGCUAGGCACGUAGGAUGAAUGAAUGAAGUGCUUCAUCUGUGCCUGGAGCCANNNNNNN